Molecule: ribosomal RNA, 405 nt
Filed under: uncultured Gammaproteobacteria bacterium
Lineage: Bacteria; Pseudomonadati; Pseudomonadota; Gammaproteobacteria
Description: bacterial SSU rRNA
Rfam family: Bacterial small subunit ribosomal RNA
Source: RNAcentral
ACAUGCAGUCGAACGGAAACGAUGGGAGCUUGCUCCCAGGCGUCGAGUGGCGGACGGGUGAGUAACACAUAGGAAUCUGCCCAGUAGCGGGGGACAACUUGGGGAAACUCAAGCUAAUACCGCAUACGCCCUACGGGGGAAAGCGGGGGACCUUCGGGCCUCGCACNAUUGGAUGAGCCUAUGUCAGAUUAGCUUGUUGGUGGGGUAAUGGCCUACCAGGGCGACGAUCUGUAGCUGGUCUGAGAGGACGAUCAGCCACACUGGGACUGAGACACGGCCCAGACUNAUACGGGAGGCAGCAGUGGGGAAUAUUGCACAAUGGGCGAAAGCCUGAUGCAGCAAUGCCGCGUGUGUGAAGAAGGCCUGCGGGUUGUAAAGCACUUUCAGUGGGGAGGAAACAGUUGC